GACGAACGCUGGCGGCGUGCCUAACACAUGCAAGUCGAACGGAGUAAGAAAGCUUGCUUUCUUACUUAGUGGCGGACGGGUGAGUAACGCGUGAGUAACCUGCCUUUCAGAGGGGGAUAACGUCUGGAAACGGACGCUAAUACCGCAUGAUAUUCCGGGAUCACAUGGUUCUGGAAUCAAAGGAGCAAUCCGCUGAGAGAUGGACUCGCGUCCGAUUAGCCAGUUGGCGGGGUAAAGGCCCACCAAAGCAACGAUCGGUAGCCGGGCUGAGAGGCUGAACGGCCACAUUGGGACUGAGACACGGCCCAGACUCCUACGGGAGGCAGCAGUGGGGGAUAUUGCACAAUGGAGGAAACUCUGAUGCAGCAACGCCGCGUGAGGGAAGAAGGUCUUCGGAUUGUAAACCUUUGUCCUCAGGGAAGAUAAUGACGGUACCUGAGGAGGAAGCUCCGGCUAACUACGUG
This 464-nucleotide ribosomal RNA is filed under the name uncultured organism. Its description in RNAcentral is "bacterial SSU rRNA". It matches the Rfam family "Bacterial small subunit ribosomal RNA", at positions 28 to 507 of the family's 1533-position model. The record is from RNAcentral.